AUUGAACGCUGGCGGCAUGCCUUACACAUGCAAGUCGAACGGCAGCACGGGAGCAAUCCUGGUGGCGAGUGGCGAACGGGUGAGUAAUAUAUCGGAACGUGCCCAGUCGUGGGGAUAACGUAGCGAAAGCUACGCUAAUACCGCAUACGAUCUACGGAUGAAAGCGGGGGAUCGCAAGACCUCGCGCGAUUGGAGCGGCCGAUAUCAGAUUAGGUAGUUGGUAAGGUAAAGGCUCACCAAGCCGACGAUCUGUAGCUGGUCUGAGAGGACGACCAGCCACACUGGGACUGAGACACGGCCCAGACUCCUACGGGAGGCAGCAGUGGGGAAUUUUGGACAAUGGGCGCAAGCCUGAUCCAGCAAUGCCGCGUGCAGGAUGAAGGCCUUCGGUUGGUAAACGUUAGCUUUGUUACGGUAACGAAAGG
This 425-nucleotide ribosomal RNA is filed under the name uncultured bacterium. RNAcentral describes it as "bacterial SSU rRNA". It matches the Rfam family "Bacterial small subunit ribosomal RNA", at positions 30 to 453 of the family's 1533-position model. The record is from RNAcentral.